AUACGUAGGUGGCAAGCGUUGUCCGGAAUGACUGGGCGUAAAGGGCGUGUAGGCGGCGGUGUAAGUCUGGAGUGAAAAUCCCGCAUUCAAUGUGGGAAUUGCUUUGGAUACUGCAGUGCUAGAGUGCGGAAGAGGUAAGUGGAAUUCCCAGUGUAGCGGUGAAAUGCGUAGAGAUUGGGAGGAACACCAGUGGCGAAGGCGACUUACUGGGCCGUAACUGACGCUGAGGCGCGAAAGCGUGGGGAGCGAACAGGAUUAGAUACCCUGGUAGUCCACGCGGUAAACGAUGAAUGCUAGGUGUUGCGGGUAUCGACCCCUGCAGUGCCGGAGUAAACACAAUAAGCAUUCCGCCUGGGGAGUACGGCCGCAAGGUUGAAACUCAAAUGAAUUGACGGGG
This 397-nucleotide ribosomal RNA is filed under the name uncultured bacterium. RNAcentral's name for it is "partial 16S ribosomal RNA". It matches the Rfam family "Bacterial small subunit ribosomal RNA", at positions 523 to 918 of the family's 1533-position model. The record is from RNAcentral.